AGUGUAGCGGUGAAAUGCGUAGAUAUUAGGAAGAACACCAGUGGCGAAGGCGACUUUNUGGACGAAAACUGACGCUGAGGCGCGAAAGCCAGGGGAGCGAACGGGAUUAGAUACCCCGGUAGUCCUGNCCGUAAACGAUGGGUACUAGGUGUAGGAGGUAUCGACCCNUUCUGUGCCGGAGUUAACGCAAUAAGUACCCCGCCUGGGGAGUACGACCGCAAGGUUGAAACUCAAAGGAAUUGACGGGGGCCCGCACAAGCGGUGGAGUAUGUGGUUUAAUUCGACGCAACGCGAAGAACCUUACCAGGUCUUGACAUUGAUGGACAGAACCAGAGAUGGUUCCUCUUCUUCGGAAGCCAGAAAACAGGUGGUGCACGGUUGUCGUCAGCUCGUGUCGUGAGAUGUUGGGUUAAGUCCCGCAACGAGCGCAACCCCUAUCUUAUGUUGCCAGCACUUCGGGUGGGAACUCAUGAGAGACUGCCGCAGACAAUGCGGAGGAAGGCGGGGAUGACGUCAAAUCAUCAUGCCCCUUAUGACCUGGGCUACACACGUACUACAAUGGGAGUUAAUAGACGGAAGCGAAACCGCGAGGUGGAGCAAACCCGAGAAACACUCUCUCAGUUCGGAUCGUAGGCUGCAACUCGCCUACGUGAAGUCGGAAUCGCUAGUAAUCGCAGGUCAGCAUACUGCGGUGAAUACGUUCCCGGGCCUUGUACACACCGCCCGUCA
Molecule: ribosomal RNA, 729 nt
Filed under: uncultured bacterium
Lineage: Bacteria
Description: bacterial SSU rRNA
Rfam family: Bacterial small subunit ribosomal RNA
Source: RNAcentral